UCAAAUGGAGAGUUUGAUCCUGGCUCAGGAUGAACGCUGGCGGCAUGCCUAAUACAUGCAAGUCGAACGAAGUUUCGAGGAAGCUUGC
Molecule: ribosomal RNA, 88 nt
Filed under: [Clostridium] innocuum
Lineage: Bacteria; Bacillati; Bacillota; Clostridia; Eubacteriales; Clostridiaceae
Description: partial 16S ribosomal RNA
Rfam family: Bacterial small subunit ribosomal RNA
Source: RNAcentral